UACGGAGGGUGCGAGCGUUGUCCGGAAUCAUUGGGCGUAAAGGGCGCGUAGGUGGCGGGACAAGCGUGCGGUGAAAGCUCGGGGCUCAACCCCGAGUCGGCCGUGCGAACUGUUUUGCUUGAGCACUGUAGAGGCAGGCGGAAUUCCGGGUGUAGCGGUGGAAUGCGUAGAGAUCCGGAAGAACACCGGUGGCGAAGGCGGCCCGCUGGGCAACUGCUGACACUGAGGCGCGACAGCGUGGGGAGCAAACAGG
Molecule: ribosomal RNA, 253 nt
Filed under: uncultured bacterium
Lineage: Bacteria
Description: partial 16S ribosomal RNA
Rfam family: Bacterial small subunit ribosomal RNA
Source: RNAcentral